CUAAGAAUAUUCCGUAAUGGACGAAAGUCUGACGGAGCGACGCCGCGUGGAUGAAGAAGGCCGCAAGGUUGUAAAAUCCUUUUGCUGGGGAAGAAUAAGUCCAGGAGGGAAUGCCUGGAUGAUGACAUGAACCGGCGAAUAAGCCCCGGCCAACUACGUGCCAGCAGCCGCGGUAACACGUAGGGGGCAAGCGUUGUUCGGAAUUACUGGGCGUAAAGGGCAUGUAGGCGGUCUAGUAAGCUUGGCGUGAAAGACCACAGCUCAACUGUGGGGUUGCGUUGAGAACUGCUGAACUUGAGUUACGGAGAGGGAGCUAGAAUUCCUGGUGUAGGUGUGGAAUCUGUAGAGAUCAGGAAGAAUACCGAUGGCGAAGGUAAGCUUCUGGCCGAUAACUGACGCUGAGAUGCGAAAGUGUGGGGAUCAAACA
RNAcentral lists this ribosomal RNA (427 nucleotides) under uncultured prokaryote. Its description in RNAcentral is "bacterial SSU rRNA". It matches the Rfam family "Bacterial small subunit ribosomal RNA", at positions 355 to 774 of the family's 1533-position model. The record is from RNAcentral.